GUUACCGUCAAAAUGAUAAUCAUAGAAGCGAGAAGAGGAUCAUGCCCCUCAUUGCGUUAUAUGUUUUUUAUUUUCUUUGGUGUUAUUGCUGUAGCCUUGUGGUUUCUUGGUGUGUCACACAUUUUGUAUGUUUCUGUGUGUGUGUGUGUGUAUCUGUGUGUGUGUGCGCGCUACGCUGUCUUUGUUUGACAGCCAGGCAAGCAAUUGCAACACUGUCUGUAUAAUGGGCAUGUCAUUAAGAUUGUGUUUGAAUCUGGGUCUUGUGUUGUCUGUGCUUUCAUGUCUCUGGGUGAUGAUUUUCUUCUCCGGUAUGAUUAGGGGUGAGAGUGUGCAUGGAGGGAUUGUCAGUUAUGGGGCCCGUGUUGCUGUAGGUGUAUGAACUAAUAUCAACACGUGCGUGUGUUUCUUUGCGUGCGCGAAUGCAUGUGUGUGGGUGCGUGAGUGUUUGCCGAGCUGCUCCUCCCGCUCGUGGCAGUUGCUCACUAACGUGCGAGAUUCUGAUGCUGCAGUAGAGUCGGGCUUUUUCAGAACGCCCCAGGGUCUGAGCCCCCUCGGUCCUCCUCCGUUGUGACCGUGAGCGACCGCUCACACCCCACAGCGGCAUGCGUUGGUGCCUGCCCUACUUCCAUGCCAUCAGAACCGGAGAUUCCGGUGAUGCUUCCUACAGGAGCGGCUUUCCGAUGGUUCCAGUAGGACUGUGACCCUCCUCCAACCCUAACCCCAUCCCACCCAAACCCAAAGCUCUGCGAUCAAGUGCAAUGCCAACUCUCGCUUGGAUUGUCUCGGGCACGGACACUGGCUGACAAGCAAACAAACAAACAGACAGCAAAAGAAAAAAAAUGAAAAAUUAAGCAAAAAUAAUCAAUCGAUUAAUGGAUGCACCUACUUAUUCCUUGAACCAAAAAUUAAACAUAAAGAAAAAAAUCUAUGGCAACUUUCAUUCCCUUUUCUAUGUUUCCAUUUUGGUACCUUUUGUCCUUUUUCCAGCAGGUUUUUUCUGUCGCUUCGACAUGGAACUGUUCAUUGCCAAACAGAAAUGACGGACUGAGUGUGGACAAUCAACUAAUUUCUGUGUUUGGUGUUAAUGUUGUUCACGUGUGGAAAGAUACAGUACUUGUGUAGAGAAUGUAAAUUUACGGCUAUAUUUUAAAACUAGUGGCUAAUGGCAAGCACUAUUGUAAUUUAGCACCAUUGUUCUUACUUAAACCCUUGUCUAUUUUAUGAUUUAUAUUGUUUUAAGAAUAUCAUUUUGAAACGGAUCAUUGGUUGUCUUUUAAAAGAAAAUGGAAUUGUUUCAAAAUGUAAAAAAAAUACUGAUUUCUUAUUGAAAUGAAAAAACUACUCUCAUCCCAUUCAGCAGAGGUCCGAGUUACUUUUUUUUUUUGCCCGAUGACGCUAUCUACCAGAGAAUUCACUGGAAUCUCCCCAAUUGCCCGAACCAACCAAUAACCGUGUUUUUCACGCCUGUAUUUUCGAGCAUUUUAUUUUGUGAAACUGACAGCCUUACGUUCCUGUGGCCCAAACAAGUGUGUCAUGAGUGUGACAUCACAGAGGGCAACAACACUAGGAGACAGCACUUGCUCUGAGUCUACCCAUUUGAACCCACUUGCUCUGAGUCUACCCAUUUGAACCCACUUGCUCUGAGUCUACCCAUUUGAACGCACUGAAACAAGAUUUUUUUUAAUGUUUUUUUCCAUCCAUGUUGCUGAUAGUUACAUCUUUUAAAAACAACAGCGAUGUGUUUGUAUUCAUUUAGAAAAAUUGGACUGGUUUUGUGAAUAAAAACGAAUGCAUGUAUUUGUGUCAAAAUUUACAGUUCUGAUGUUUGUCUACUUGUCUUUGCAUGUUUUUUUUUUCUAAAACAACCGCUGACUUGAAAAAAUUCUAAAGUAUGAAUAUGUCCGGAAAUCUUUCAAAUUUGUUCCCUUUUCAUAUCAUUGGAUAUAAUAACAAUAAUAAUAAUAAAAAAGUGAUGGGAUGAGACAACACAUUAAAGCAGAAUCAGG
Esox lucius (northern pike) is the source of this 2006-nucleotide long non-coding RNA. The record is from Ensembl. Lineage: Eukaryota; Metazoa; Chordata; Actinopteri; Esociformes; Esocidae.